Long non-coding RNA from Triticum aestivum (bread wheat), 1068 nucleotides. RefSeq lists it as uncharacterized. The record is from RefSeq and is a predicted model, not a curated record. NCBI's taxonomy places the organism in Eukaryota, Viridiplantae, Streptophyta, Magnoliopsida, Poales, Poaceae. The transcript is spliced from 2 exons.
UCUUCUUCAACUUCCACGCUUUCCCUAAACCCUUCCAAUAAAUACACUGAUCCCGAUCUCACGGGGCACUUCAUCAAGGACAACUGGACAAGGGAGCCCUCCUUGGACGAACAUCACCUCACGCACGUGCUUGCACAAACAAACAAUUGAUUUCAGCGGCCGGUUGAACCUGACCUUGGGCGCCACCUGCGUCGACUGAUCUGUUCGACGACCGGCCGGAGUUUUGCUUCGUUGAGUUGCCGAGCGAUAGCAUGGUGCCUGCACCUGCGCGUACGGCGUACAGGCGAUGGACAACUCAGAAAGGACGAGGGGUAGGUGUUGUUCAUGUGGGAGAGGGCCAACCAUCGGUGCAAUCUUGAGCACGAUCUCUAUGCUUUCAUGACGUUCAGAGCCAUACCUGACAUGAAGUUGUUCGGUCUCACCCCGUACAACCUCGGGUAGCACCAGCAGGACCUAAGCGAGAUCUGGCCAGUGGCGUUCUGUGUAGUUGCCAGGCGAGAGGGUUGGCUACCUCCCAAAGAGGCUACAUGUGAAGUCCUUGAACAAUGAGGAUGCUGCCUUGCGUGGCCGAUCUGAAUCAGGGGACAUGCGGGGCUCCAUGGCAUCAUUGCUGGAAACAAUAGCAGCAGCAGUACUCGCUUUAGUUCUCCAAAGACAAGGCAAUUAGGUCAUCUGAAGAAUCCUCGAUCUAAUUAUUCAAUUUAUGAAUCAACUAUGCCUCCGUUCAUGAAUCAUGACUCAAGAUAAGACUGAUUUUGUUACGCCGGCCAGCUGUGGAUUACUGUCAUGUACGCGUAUUUGAUCGUAGGAUCACUGUACAACAGGCUUUGGAGCAGGUUCUGAUUCAUGCAGAGAUCCCCAGCAACCUCCUAUUUUCAGGAUAUUAGAUGGAUACAGAAUCCAGUAACCCUUCAAUAGAUAAAGGAAGUCCCAUUUUCUGUUGAUAAUUUGCACGACAGGGUUCUAGCUAAUUUAUGAUCGUGCCGACAAUCGGCCACCAAUGCCUGAAGAUUUGAGGUGUGACUCAAAUUUCGUGUUGUUAGAAAUCAACAAUGGAGAUUUCAGUUU